This 523-nucleotide ribosomal RNA is filed under the name uncultured Ferribacterium sp. Its description in RNAcentral is "bacterial SSU rRNA". It matches the Rfam family "Bacterial small subunit ribosomal RNA", at positions 1 to 525 of the family's 1533-position model. The record is from RNAcentral. Lineage: Bacteria; Pseudomonadati; Pseudomonadota; Betaproteobacteria; Rhodocyclales; Azonexaceae.
UAGAGUUUGAUUAUGGCUCAGAUUGAACGCUGGCGGCAUGCCUUACACAUGCAAGUCGAACGGCAGCACGGGAGCAAUCCUGGUGGCGAGUGGCGAACGGGUGAGUAAUGUAUCGGAACGUACCUUUCAGUGGGGGAUAACGUAGCGAAAGUUACGCUAAUACCGCAUAUUCUGUGAGCAGGAAAGCAGGGGAUCGCAAGACCUUGCGCUGAUUGAGCGGCCGAUAUCAGAUUAGCUAGUUGGUGAGGUAAAGGCUCACCAAGGCGACGAUCUGUAGCGGGUCUGAGAGGAUGAUCCGCCACACUGGAACUGAGACACGGUCCAGACUCCUACGGGAGGCAGCAGUGGGGAAUUUUGGACAAUGGGGGCAACCCUGAUCCAGCCAUGCCGCGUGAGUGAAGAAGGCCUUCGGGUUGUAAAGCUCUUUCGGCCGGGAAGAAAUCGCAUGGGUUAAUACCCUGUGUGGAUGACGGUACCGGAAUAAGAAGCACCGGCUAACUACGUGCCAGCAGCCGCGGAAUUC